AUUAUGGCGAACUCACACCAAGCUCAGGGUUUGAAAGGGUGCUGCGAAGGCGGUUUGUUUCCAAAAACAGGAUCACAAAUUGCCUGAAAGCAUUGGCCAUCACAGUGAGCCAGAAAAUGCCAAACGGUCAACUUAUCAAAUGCACAUUCAGAUUGUUUGGUUGUCAAGCUUUUAUAUCAAGCCAAUGCUCACAGCUUUGUGAAUGUCAACUUGUGUGUUGAAACAGGUGGCAAAUUGCAAACCAUCUUUGUUCUCAUCACAAGCUACUGUUUGGAUUGACAAUCCAUUCCAACUCCAUCACCACACCUAAACAAGGCAGG
Molecule: long non-coding RNA, 320 nt
Organism: Musa acuminata subsp. malaccensis (wild Malaysian banana)
Lineage: Eukaryota; Viridiplantae; Streptophyta; Magnoliopsida; Zingiberales; Musaceae
Source: RefSeq, a predicted model, not a curated record